GGGGAAUUUUCCGCAAUGGGCGAGAGCCUGACGGAGCAACGCCGCGUGAGGGAGGAAGGCCUGUGGGUCGUAAACCUCUUUUCUCAGGGAAGAAGUACUGACGGUACCUGAGGAAUCAGCAUCGGCUAACUCCGUGCCAGCAGCCGCGGUAAGACGGAGGAUGCAAGCGUUAUCCGGAAUUAUUGGGCGUAAAGCGUCCGUAGGUGGUAUAGAAAGUCUGUUGUUAAAUCCCACAGCUCAACUGUGGAUCGGCAAUGGAAACUACUAAACUUGAGUGUGGUAGGGGUAGAGGGAAUUCCUAGUGUAGCGGUGAAAUGCGUUAAUAUUAGGAAGAACACCAGUGGCGAAGGCGGUCUACU
RNAcentral lists this ribosomal RNA (359 nucleotides) under uncultured cyanobacterium. RNAcentral's name for it is "bacterial SSU rRNA". It matches the Rfam family "Bacterial small subunit ribosomal RNA", at positions 356 to 730 of the family's 1533-position model. Lineage: Bacteria; Bacillati; Cyanobacteriota. The record is from RNAcentral.